RNAcentral lists this ribosomal RNA (246 nucleotides) under Pycnococcus provasolii. Its description in RNAcentral is "partial Bacterial small subunit ribosomal RNA". It matches the Rfam family "Bacterial small subunit ribosomal RNA", at positions 11 to 285 of the family's 1533-position model. Lineage: Eukaryota; Viridiplantae; Chlorophyta; Pseudoscourfieldiophyceae; Pseudoscourfieldiales; Pycnococcaceae. The record is from RNAcentral.
GUUUGAUCCUGGCUCAGAACGAACGCUGGCGGCAUGCCUAACACAUGCAAGUCGAACGAGACCUUCGGGUCUAGUGGCGCACGGGUGCGUAACGCGUGGGAAUCUGCCCUUAGGUACGGAAUAACUCGGGGAAACUCGUGCUAAUACCGUAUGAUGACGUAAGUCCAAAGAUUUAUCGCCUAAGGAUGAGCCCGCGUAGGAUUAGCUAGUUGGUGAGGUAAAGGCUCACCAAGGCGACGAUCAGUA